Molecule: long non-coding RNA, 4181 nt
Organism: Callithrix jacchus (white-tufted-ear marmoset)
Lineage: Eukaryota; Metazoa; Chordata; Mammalia; Primates; Cebidae
Source: Ensembl
AGACAGAGAGAGCUCCUUCCAAUUGUUUUAUUGAUCUAGAGACAGUGUCUCACUCGGUCGCCCUGGCUGGAGUGCAGUGGUGCCAUCGUAGCUCACUCACUGCAGUCUAGACACUCCUUGGUUCAAGACAUUCCUCCGCCUCAGCCUCCAGAGUACCUGGGACCACAGGCACAUGCCACUGUGAUCAGAUCAUUCAUUCAUUUUUCUGAGACGGGGUUUCACCAGGUUGGUCUGCAACUCCCGACCUCGGGUGAUCCGCCCGCCUCGGCUUCCCAAAGUGCUGUGAUGACAGGCGUGAGCCACCGGGCCCGGCCCCUCAGAUCAGUUUUUCAAUGUUUUCUAGGCCGGGCGCUGUGGCUCACGCCUAGAAUUCCAGCACUUUGGGAGGCCGAGGUGGGUGGAUCACGAGCUCGAGAGAUCGAGACCAUCCUGGUCAACCGGGUGAAACCCCGUCUCUACUAAAAAUACAGAAAUUAGCUGGGCAUGGUGCUGCGUGCCUGUAGUCCUGGCUACUCGGGAGGUUGACGCGGGAGAAUUGCCUGAACCCAGGAGGCGGAGGUUGCGGUGAGCCGAGAUCGUGCCAUUGCCCUCCAGCCUGGUGGGUAACGAGAGCGAAGCUCCGUCUCAAAACAAACAAACAAACAGAUCAAUUGCAACGAAGUGAUGAGACCCUGUCUGUAGACCCUUUCUACAGGCAGGGUCUCAUCACUUCGUUGCAAUCCUCCCGACCUGGCGUCUCAAAGUUUUGGGAUGAUGGAUGGGCUCGAGCCACACUGUGCCUGGCCUCCGGGGACUGAUUCGCGACCACAACUGACGUGCUAAUAUUUUCUUCUUUUUUCUCCUUCUUCUUUUUGAGACGGAGCCUCGCUCUGUGCCAGGCGAAGGGAGGCGCAUCGCUUCGGAAGCGGCAGCCGAGCCGCCUUCUAGAGCCCCAUUCAAAGGCAGACAGCCCUGUUUCCCUUCUGGAGUCGGAGGUGAUGGCUCCCAUGGCCUCGGGCUCCACUCCAUUCGGCAGGCGCCGCCCCACAAGAAGGCUGGCUGUGGCUGUGGCUGGGGGUGGGGGGACGCGGUGGGGCUGGCUGGAAGAGUCUCCUUUUCUGCUUCGUCCUUCGGUAGCUGGAAUGACGGGCGCGCACCACCACGCCCCCCGGCUACUUUUCCUAUUUUCAGGAGGGAUGGGGUUUCGCCAUGUUGGUCAGGCUGGCCUCGAACUCCUGACCUCAAGUGAUCCGCCCUCUUGGGCCUCCCAAAGUGCUGGGAUGACGGGCGUGAGCCGCCAGCACUUCACCCUUGAAGAGCAAGCGCGCGGGCGGGGAGCGGGGCGUGGGCCGCCGGGCCUCGGCCUGCUUUUUCUUUUGUUACUAGAGAAGAAAAUGGCGUGGGCCCUCUCGCUAUCACGGUAUACACUCUGCUAUUCUGUGGGAUACGCCGUGCGUGUGAGUGCGUGCGUGGGUACGUCCGUGCGUGCGUGCGUGCGUGCGUACGUACGUACCUACGCACGUACGUAGGUGCGUGUGUUUCUGCGCGUAUUGCCGAGUCACGGUGCUUCCUUCCCCCUCAGGGUCUCCGCUCCAUUAGUUGUGGGGGAAAUGCCUGGGAGGGUGCCGGGCUGACACUUGCAUAUGUUGUCAUCGGGCGUCACCUAGCGGUCACCGGUUCUCCGAAGUCUAGGCGGCGUGACGGGACGCUCUGGCCGCCCGCCCACCGUCAGGAGAGACUGUGGCUUCUCUCUGCCACCCGCCCCCCACCUCCCCCCACUUAGAGGCCCGCCCUCCCUUAGUCCAUUCGUCCCCCACCCCCACCCCCACCCCCACCCCCGACUCCCUCGUUGCCCAGACGACCCCUGGAGACCCUGGCCGGGCCCGAUUGUUCUUCUCUUUGAUCCGUUGUUUCCCUUUCUUUCUUGGUGUCUUUCUUAACCCAUAUGGACCCUUCUGCCUGGGUUUUGUGGAUGACAGCUCCACUUUAGGCCUUGUCGUUAGUGGGGACUUUCCCGAUUCUCCCCAGAUGUAGCGAAAGCAGGUAGAUGUCCAGAGUGUGCUCGUAAAUGGCGUUUCCCAGAAAUCAUCGAAUGAGUGUGGAGGAAGAAACAUGCGGUGCCCCCCUUUCGAGGCAGCGAUGCCAGCAAUCAUGAAUUAGGUGUCAUUGCUGGAGUCGGCUUGUUUCCUGAGUUGCCCUCCGUGCCCACCCCCACCCCAGUCUUGAAUACAUUUUAGAAUAACCUACUGUGCCUCCGUCCCUUCCCCUUCCUCUUUGUGUCCCCUCCUGCUCCCCUUGGUUUCUCUCCUUCCACUCAGGCAUAUCCCCCCUUCUUUCUUUCUUUCUCUUUCUCUCUCUCUCUCUCUCUCUCCCCCCCUCCCCACCCGCCACCCCUCCCUCCCUCCCUCCCUCCCUCCCUAGGUAAACUCACUCAACCACCCUGGCCCAGGCCCUCAUAGUCAUUUUUCUUCUUUUUUUUGGAAACAGAGUCUCACUCUGUCACCCAGGCUGGAGUUCGAGGGCACGAUCUCGGCUCGCGGCGGCCUCUGCCUCCCGGGUUAAGGCGAUUCUCCUGCCUCAGCCUCCUGAGUGGCUGGGGGUUACAGGCAUGCACUGCCACGCCCGGAGAAGUUCUUUCUUUCUUUCUUUCUUUCUUUCUUUCUUUCUUUCUUUCUUUCUUUCUUUCUUUCUUUCUUUCUUUCUUUGAUUAAAAUUAAAGAAGUUUAUUUGUAUUGUUAGCAGAGACGGGGUUUCACCAUGUUGGCCAGCCUGUUGUUGGACUCCUGACCUCAGGUGGCCCACCCGCCUCAGCCUCCCCAGAGUGCUGGGAUGACAGGCCUGAGCCACCGCGCCCGGCUCAUUGUCACUUUUAACGGUUACCUUACGUGUGGCAUUUUUAUUUUCCUGGCCAACAUAUUCCUAAGGUGGAAGGUGUGUCGCAGCCCCUCCCCGGGCCUUACUAUGCCGGUAGAGGAUUUUUCGAAAAGAAAUCUGUCUGUGCUUUCUCCUUUAGUUUCUCUCUCCCUAAUUGCCUUCUCCAGUUCUUUCUUUCUUGUUUGUUUCUUUUGUCGUUUUCUGUGUUUCGUUCGUUGUUCCUGUGUUUCUUUCGUUGUUUCUGUGUUUCUUGUGUGGUAUUUUUUUUUUUUUUUUUUUUGAGAUGGAGUUUCCCUUUUGUUACCCAGGCUGGAGUGCAAUGGCGCGAUCUCGGCUCACCGCAACCUCCACCUCCUGGGUUCAGGCAAUUCUCCUGCCUCAGCCUCCUGAGUAGCUGGGAUGACAGGCACGCACCAGCAUGCCCAGCUAAUCUUUUGUAUCUUUAGUAGAAAUGGGGUUUCACCAUGUUGACCUGGAUGGUCUCUAUCUCUUGACCCCGUGAUCCACCCACCUUGGCCUCCCAAAGAGCUGGGAUUACAGGCUUGAGCCACCGCGACCGGCUCCUUCCUUCCUUCCUUUCUCUCUUUCUCUCUCUCUCUCUCUCUCUCUCUCUCUUCUUCUUUCUUUCUUUUUUCCUUUUUUCUUUAUUUUGAGACAAGAGUCUCACUCUGUCACCCAGGCUGGAGUGCGAUGGCGCGAUCUCAGCUCACGGUGACCUCCACCUCCGGGGUUCAAGCGAUUCUCCUGCCUCUGCCUCCUGAGUGGCUGGGGUUACAGGCAUGUGCCACCACGUCCGGAGAAUUUGUUUUUCUUUUCCUUUUUUAUUUUUAACAUUAAAAUUAAAGAGGUUCUUUUUUUUUUUUUUUUUUUUUAAUAAUUACUUUUAUUUUUAAUGUCCAGAAUGUGUAAUAUAAGGGCCAGAGCCUCCUCCUGGACUCAAUUUUAUAAAUUCUCAAUUGGUUGGUGAGGCCAAUAGGGAUACUUUUGCUUGUCCAAUUUGGUUUCUGGGAAAGCUUCGUUCAAGUCCUCAAUGGUCAUCUGUUCAAAUGGAAUUAAGUUCUUAUACUUCUCCAUCUUUUUCUCAUAUUCUACAACCCUGGCCUUUGAGAGAGACACCCACUCAGCACAAGACUUCACAUCUUCUUUUUCUUCAGCAUCCACCAGGGCAGUAUAUGGAUCCUCUGGUAUAGGAACCUUCAGGGCAUUAAACUUCUUCUCAAAGUCAUCCACCAAGCCUGCUUUGGCCACAUUGGCCUUGUAGUAAGCCCAGUCAAUAGAUGGUGGAUUCUCAGGUAAAGCAGCCAACCUGGAGGUUAGGAUCUCAUUCC